RNAcentral lists this ribosomal RNA (351 nucleotides) under uncultured bacterium. RNAcentral's name for it is "bacterial SSU rRNA". It matches the Rfam family "Bacterial small subunit ribosomal RNA", at positions 917 to 1271 of the family's 1533-position model. The record is from RNAcentral.
GGGCCCGCACAAGCGGUGGAGCAUGUGGUUUAAUUCGAUGAUACGCGAGGAACCUUACCAGGGCUUAAAUGUACGUUGCAUGAUUUAGAGAUAGAUCUUUCUUCGGACUACGUACAAGGUGCUGCAUGGUUGUCGUCAGCUCGUGCCGUGAGGUGUCAGGUUAAGUCCUAUAACGAGCGCAACCCCUGUUGUUAGUUGCCAGCGAGUCAUGUCGGGAACUCUAACAAGACUGCCGGUGCAAACCGUGAGGAAGGUGGGGACGACGUCAAAUCAUCACGGCCCUUACGUCCUGGCCACACACGUGCUACAAUGGUAGGUACAGAGGGAAGCCACCCCGCGAGGGGGAGCGGA